RNAcentral lists this small RNA (156 nucleotides) under Endozoicomonas elysicola. RNAcentral describes it as "PhrS". It matches the Rfam family "PhrS". The record is from Rfam by way of RNAcentral. Lineage: Bacteria; Pseudomonadati; Pseudomonadota; Gammaproteobacteria; Oceanospirillales; Endozoicomonadaceae.
UUUAUAAAACAACCAAUAAAAAGGAAUAGGUUAUGUAUCUCGACACAGUCGUCAUUGCAGGGGUCCUAGUAGUUGUAGCAACAGUCAUUGUUGCGGGUGGUGUUGCCGGAUUCAUCAUCAGGGAUGCAAGAAGAAAGCGCUAAUAGAGUUUUUUUG